RNAcentral lists this long non-coding RNA (664 nucleotides) under Cricetulus griseus (Chinese hamster). Its description in RNAcentral is "lncRNA (ENSCGRG00015013886.2)". Lineage: Eukaryota; Metazoa; Chordata; Mammalia; Rodentia; Cricetidae. The record is from RNAcentral.
GUUGGCAGGUGUUUUUACUGUGUACCAACUUUGGUUUCUUCAGGUCUUCUAAGAACUUCAGGUGACCACUGGGACUAAAGGUGGAGCCAAGCCUUUUCAGCCUUCCCCACUGACCCCAAGCACUGUGUGCUCCACACAAAGCCAUGCGCAGCCAGUGGAAUGUGGACAAUUCCUCGAUGUUCUGGCAUGGACAUGAUCUCCUUCGUGCUUCCAACACGGGAUUCCGAUCAAUAAGUUGGGGCCCCAAGCUUCUUCAGGAAAACAGUUUUUAUUUGUGCUAGCAGAUUCAUCCAAACUUCUGUUUCAAAGAACCAAGCCCCAAAGGCUCACUAGACGGAGCCUUUUGGAUUUUGCGUCUUUGUCUCCCAUACAUGGACCCCCCACCAUAGUGACAUGGUGGCAGAACAGGUGCAGACCCUGGUGAUAGCCACAGCAGCCAUAGGGGAAGUCACUCGUCCUGACGUUCUCACUCUGUUCUUACCUCAUCACAGGAAGGGAAACUAAUCACCCCACAUCAUCCCCAAGACUUGUGAACGACUGCUCUUUCUGUACUGAGUACUCACAGAUGUGGAAACAGACCCACAGGGAACUCACGGGGCUAUCGGCAAUAGAGGCACCAUCAGUCCCAGCACCAAGUCCCAUCAGGGAAGUAGCCAAACUCUGU